GGGGAAUUUUCCGCAAUGGGCGAAAGCCUGACGGAGCAAUACCGCGUGAGGGAGGAAGGCUUUUGGGUUGUAAACCUCUUUUCUCAAGGAAGAAGAACUGACGGUACUUGAGGAAUCAGCAUCGGCUAACUCCGUGCCAGCAGCCGCGGUAAUACGGAGGAUGCAAGCGUUAUCCGGAAUUAUUGGGCGUAAAGCGUCCGCAGGUGGUGCAUCAAGUCUGCUGUCAAAGACCAGGGCUUAACUCUGGGUCGGCGGUGGAAACUGGUGGACUAGAGUACGGUAGGGGUAGAGGGAAUUCCCAGUGUAGCAGUGAAAUGCGUAGAGAUUGGGAAGAACACCAGUGGCGAAGGCGCUCUACUGGACCUGUACUGACACUCAGGGACGAAAGCUAGGGGAGCGAAAGGGAUUAGAUACCCCUGU
RNAcentral lists this ribosomal RNA (420 nucleotides) under uncultured bacterium. Its description in RNAcentral is "bacterial SSU rRNA". It matches the Rfam family "Bacterial small subunit ribosomal RNA", at positions 356 to 791 of the family's 1533-position model. The record is from RNAcentral.